CCCAGACAGCCAGGAUGUUGGCUUAGAAGCAGCCAUCAUUUAAAGAAAGCGUAAUAGCUCACUGGUCGAGUCGGCCUGCGCGGAAGAUGUAACGGGGCUAAACCAUGCACCGAAGCUGCGGCAGCGAACGUAUCACUUAAAGCGAUUCAGCGGGUUACGAUUGACGGAGCGAAGCGACGUCAAAGCGUAUACAAAGUCGAGUCGGUUUAAGGAUACGUUCGUUGGGUAGGGGAGCGUUCUGUAAGCCUGUGAAGGUGGCCUGUGAGGGUUGCUGGAGGUAUCAGAAGUGCGAAUGCUGACAUAAGUAACGAUAAAGCGGGUGAAAAGCCCGCUCGCCGGAAGACCAAGGGUUCCUGUCCAACGUUAAUCGGGGCAGGGUGAGUCGACCCCUAAGGCGAGGCCGAAAGGCGUAGUCGAUGGGAAACAGGUUAAUAUUCCUGUACUUGGUGUUACUGCGAAGGGGGGACGGAGAAGGCUAUGUUGGCCGGGCGACGGUUGUCCCGGUUUAAGCGUGUAGGCUGGUUUUCCAGGCAAAUCCGGAAAAUCAAGGCUGAGGCGUGACGACGAGGCACUACGGUGCUGAAGCAACAAAUGCCCUGCUUCCAGGAAAAGCCUCUAAGCAUCAGGUAACAUCAAAUCGUACCCCAAACCGACACAGGUGGUCAGGUAGAGAAUACCAAGGCGCUUGA
Molecule: ribosomal RNA, 689 nt
Filed under: Salmonella enterica subsp. enterica serovar Anatum
Lineage: Bacteria; Pseudomonadati; Pseudomonadota; Gammaproteobacteria; Enterobacterales; Enterobacteriaceae
Description: partial 23S ribosomal RNA
Rfam family: Bacterial large subunit ribosomal RNA
Source: RNAcentral